UGGGCAACCUGCCUGUAAGACUGGGAUAACUUCGGGAAACCGAAGCUAAUACCGGAUAGGAUCUUCUCCUUCAUGGGAGAUGAUUGAAAGAUGGUUUCGGCUAUCACUUACAGAUGGGCCCGCGGUGCAUUAGCUAGUUGGUGAGGUAACGGCUCACCAAGGCAACGAUGCAUAGCCGACCUGAGAGGGUGAUCGGCCACACUGGGACUGAGACACGGCCCAGACUCCUACGGGAGGCAGCAGUAGGGAAUCUUCCGCAAUGGACGAAAGUCUGACGGAGCAACGCCGCGUGAGUGAUGAAGGCUUUCGGGUCGUAAAACUCUGUUGUUAGGGAAGAACAAGUACGAGAGUAACUGCUUGUACCUUGACGGUACCUAACCAGAAAGCCACGGCUAACUACGUGCCAGCAGCCGCGGUAAUACGUAGGUGGCAAGCGUUAUCCGGAAUUAUUGGGCGUAAAGCGCGCGCAGGCGGUUUCUUAAGUUCUGAUGUGAAAGCCCACGGCUCAACCGUGGAGGG
This 519-nucleotide ribosomal RNA is filed under the name Priestia aryabhattai. RNAcentral describes it as "bacterial SSU rRNA". It matches the Rfam family "Bacterial small subunit ribosomal RNA", at positions 118 to 622 of the family's 1533-position model. Lineage: Bacteria; Bacillati; Bacillota; Bacilli; Caryophanales; Bacillaceae. The record is from RNAcentral.